This 422-nucleotide ribosomal RNA is filed under the name uncultured Lachnospiraceae bacterium. RNAcentral's name for it is "bacterial SSU rRNA". It matches the Rfam family "Bacterial small subunit ribosomal RNA", at positions 355 to 794 of the family's 1533-position model. The record is from RNAcentral. Lineage: Bacteria; Bacillati; Bacillota; Clostridia; Lachnospirales; Lachnospiraceae.
UGGGGAAUAUUGCACAAUGGAGGAAACUCUGAUGCAGCGACGCCGCGUGAGUGAAGAAGUAGUUCGCUAUGUAAAGCUCUAUCAGCAGGGAAGAUAGUGACGGUACCUGACUAAGAAGCUCCGGCUAAAUACGUGCCAGCAGCCGCGGUAAUACGUAUGGAGCAAGCGUUAUCCGGAUUUACUGGGUGUAAAGGGAGUGUAGACGGCAAAGCAAGUCUGAAGUGAAAGCCCCGGGCUCAACCCGGGAACUGCUUUGGAAACUGUUUAGCUAGAGUGCAGGAGAGGUAAGUGGAAUUCCUAGUGUAGCGGUGAAAUGCGUAGAUAUUAGGAGGAACACCAGUGGCGAAGGCGGCUUACUGGACUGUAACUGACGUUGAGGCUCGAAAGCGUGGGGAGCAAACAGGAUUAGAUACCCUGGUAGU